GACGAACGCUGGCGGCGUGCUUAACACAUGCAAGUCGAACGGAAAGGCCCUGCUUUUGUGGGGUGCUCGAGUGGCGAACGGGUGAGUAGCACGUGAGUAACCUGCCCUUGACUUUGGGAUAACUUCAGGAAACUGGGGCUAAUACCGGAUAGGAGCUCCUGCUGCAUGGUGGGGGUUGGAAAGUUUCGGCGGUUGGGGAUGGACUCGCGGCUUAUCAGCUUGUUGGUGGGGUAGUGGCUUACCAAGGCUUUGACGGGUAGCCGGCCUGAGAGGGUGACCGGCCACAUGGGGACUGAGAUACGGCCCAGACUCCUACGGGAGGCAGCAGUGGGGAAUAUUGCACAAUGGGCGGAAGCCUGAUGCAGCAACGCCGCGUGCGGGAUGACGGCCUUCGGGUUGUAAACCGCUUUCGCCUGUGACGAAGCGUGAGUGACGGUAAUGGGUAAAGAAGCACCGGCUAACUACGUG
Molecule: ribosomal RNA, 468 nt
Filed under: uncultured bacterium
Lineage: Bacteria
Description: partial 16S ribosomal RNA
Rfam family: Bacterial small subunit ribosomal RNA
Source: RNAcentral